GACGAACGCUGGCGGCGUGCCUAAUACAUGCAAGUUGAGCGAUGAAGAUUGGUGCUUGCACCAAUUUGAAGAGCAGCGAGCGGGUGAGUAACGCGUGGGGAAUCUGCCUUUGAGCGGGGGACAACAUUUGGAAACGAAUGCUAAUACCGCAUAACAACUUUAAACAUAAGUUUUAAGUUUGAAAGAUGCAAUUGCAUCACUCAAAGAUGAUCCCGCGUUGUAUUAGCUAGUUGGUGAGGUAAAGGCUCACCGAGGCGAUGAUACAUAGCCGACCUGAGAGGGUGAUCGGCCACAUUGGGACUGAGACACGGCCCAAACUCCUACGGGAGGCAGCAGUAGGGAAUCUUCGGCAAUGGACGAAAGUCUGACCGAGCAACGCCGCGUGAGUGAAGAAGGGUUUCGGAUCGUAAAACUCUGUUGGUAGAGAAGAACGUUGGUGAGAGUGGAAAGCUCAUCAAGUGACGGUAACUACCCAGAAAGGGACGGCUAACUACGUG
Molecule: ribosomal RNA, 497 nt
Filed under: uncultured bacterium
Lineage: Bacteria
Description: partial 16S ribosomal RNA
Rfam family: Bacterial small subunit ribosomal RNA
Source: RNAcentral